AAUUCAUAUAUCACUUGCCAAACACAACUUCCAAAAACAAUUUCUAUACAAUUCAAUAAGAGAUGGGCAUUUAGACAAAGGAUUAUGCAGAAUUUCCAUUUUCAAAGAGAAAAUACAUCCGGCCAGAUAGGGUUCCAUGGCUAUAAGGUCUACAAAAAGCUUAAACAAUUUCUUCAAUCGGAAUUAGAUAUUUUCAGUAAAAUUUAAGUUUAAAUAAAACCAAUUAAAACCGUGUUGAAAAUACAACUAUGAAAGACAAUAUUUUCGAAUAUCUUGACAAAUCUGAAAUGGAAUCGGAAUUGAAAUUUCGCUCCCAAUCCUAAAAUGUCUACUAAUCAAUCCCUCCGUAUUAUGGAAAUUGAUCUCUCGUAUUUUUAAAAAAUCUACUAAUCAAUCCCUCCGUAUUAUGGACAUUUUAGAUUUUUUUACAAUAUUUAAAAUUAAUAUAAGGACUAAUUAGUAGACUUUUAGAAACUUAAGAAAUAUUUUAAUAUAUUUUUCAAAAUUAAAUGACCAACUAGUAAGUUUCUCCAUAUUAUAAGGAUUAAACAAUAAUUUUUCUUAAAAAACUAUGUAAAAUAUUUUAAUUCUUUUUAAUUUUAUGAUAUCUAAGUUUAAUAUGCUUUUAGUAAUGCCACUAUUUGUUUUGUUAUAUAAAAAUUUAGUACAUGUAAAUUUAUUUUAUAUUAUGUUAUUAGUGGAUAUAUAUAUUUGUUAAUUCCUAUAAAUUAAUUAAAAUUUUUUAAUAGAGUAGAAAAUUAUUUUUUUUUGGUGCAUUAAGAGUAGUUUAAAAAAUGAAAAUAAAUAAAUUUCAAUUAUGAAAUGAUAUAAAAUAUAAAUUGAAUAAAAUUUUAUAAGUCGUGUCAUAUUAAAUAAUAGAAUUCAUUUAAAUUAAAUUAUAUAGAAUUUUAUUAAAUAAAAUAAAAAUAAAAUUGUAUACUACAUAAAAAAACCUUUAAAACAUCAUAAGCAGAUUGUAUUCUAUAUCAAAAUCAUGGACUCUUGAUUAUCACAUGUCAUGCAACUAAAAAUGAAAUAUUUAUAAUGAACUAUUGAUUAUAUGUAGGUAUUAUUUUAGUGCCAAAAGCUUAACCGGCAAGUGGUAUUUUGCUAUGUUUAGAUGGAAUCUAAUCAAAUAGCAGGUGAUAUAGCUAAUCUUGUUGUGGUUUACCUUCAACAGCUUACUUAUCCUCUGAUUGAGGUGUCAGACCUUACUUGAUAGAAUUUACAGGAAUUUUUUAGUCUCGAGUUUAUCCUAUUAGAUAAGAUUAUGCUUAUUUUUAGUAUUACUAUCUACAUGGUUCUGUAAUUAUAAGAGUUAACACUUGCAUCCAAGUUACAUUAACUCUACCAUCCAACAGUUAACCCAAGAUAUAAUUUAUUAUAAAGGCAAUUUUCAGAGGCAGUUGUCAAUUUAAUCUCUUCUACUCAAUAUUACAGAUUCUCUCUCCCAAUAUUUUAUGGAAACACGGAGCCUCAAUUUCCCCUUGUUCUGGAAAUACAUAAACCUCUCUUUUGGAAGGUUUUUUAGUCCAUAAAUCAGAUUAAUAGUUCAUCAAUCAAAAUAAUAGUCCAUAAAUUCUAAAAAUCAACAGUGUUAGAGUAACCAAAUAGCAAAUAAUCAAAUUUUUUAACAGUAUACAAAUAAUCAGAUUAAUAGUCCAUAAAUUCUAAAAAUCAACAGUGUUAGAGUAACCAAAUAGCAAAUAAUCAG
RNAcentral lists this long non-coding RNA (1714 nucleotides) under Manihot esculenta (cassava). RNAcentral's name for it is "long non-coding RNA (MESC_LNC011934)". The record is from RNAcentral. Lineage: Eukaryota; Viridiplantae; Streptophyta; Magnoliopsida; Malpighiales; Euphorbiaceae.